RNAcentral lists this unclassified non-coding RNA (269 nucleotides) under uncultured Lactarius. RNAcentral describes it as "sequence contains ITS2". Lineage: Eukaryota; Fungi; Basidiomycota; Agaricomycetes; Russulales; Russulaceae. The record is from RNAcentral.
AAAUCUCAACCUUCUCGGUUUCUUCUGGACACCGAAGGAGGCUUGGACUUUGGAGGCCUUUGCUGGUGUCUCUCUCUUUUGAAACCCAGCUCCUCUUAAAUGUAUUAGCGGGGUCCUCUUUGCUGAUCCUCGACGUGUGAUAAGAUGUUUCCAUGUCUUGGUUUCUGGCUCUGUUGCUCCUGGGACCCGCUUCUAACCGUCUCAACCUUGCAUCGAGACAACGUUUGAGCCUGUCUCCCUUCUCGGGAAACGCUCACAACCCCACGAAC